UAAAUACGAAAAAGAAAAGUAAGUGGGGUGGGCUUUCCUUCCAUCACCUGUAUUACUCCCUGUAAAAGGCCUCAAAAGCAAUCUUUGCUUUUUUUUUCCGUUAGAAAAGAAAAGUGUCUGUGGGGCUCAAGUUUGAGUUGGAACCAGGCUCAGGGUCCACCUGUCCUCGCUGAUCCGUGGAUUUCUGUGUGACCAGCUGACACCUAUGGAGCUGUGGCCCUGACUACUACCACUUUGGGGCACAACCUGAAGACCCUCACAGUCACCUUCCCCAUCUCCACCCUCCAGUAUUCAUCAGACAGGAGCAAUAGCUCAGCCACGUUCAACUCCACUGAGAGGGUCCUGCAGAGCCUGGGGAGACCCUGGUCCCAGCAGCUCCUGUUGGGUU
Long non-coding RNA from Diceros bicornis minor, 388 nucleotides. RefSeq lists it as uncharacterized. NCBI's taxonomy places the organism in Eukaryota, Metazoa, Chordata, Mammalia, Perissodactyla, Rhinocerotidae. The record is from RefSeq and is a predicted model, not a curated record. The transcript is spliced from 3 exons.